GGAAUAUUGGACAAUGGGCGGGAGCCUGAUCCAGCCAUGCCGCGUGCAGGAUGACUGCCCUAUGGGUUGUAAACUGCUUUUAUACGGGAAGAAACCUAUCUACGUGUAGAUAGCUGACGGUACCGUAAGAAUAAGGACCGGCUAACUCCGUGCCAGCAGCCGCGGUAAUACGGAGGGUCCGAGCGUUAUCCGGAAUCAUUGGGUUUAAAGGGUCCGUAGGCGGGCCAUUAAGUCAGGGGUGAAAGUCUGCGGCUCAACCGUAGAAUUGCCUUUGAUACUGGUGGUCUUGAGUCGUUGUGGAGUGGCCGGAACAUGUGGUGUAGCGGUGAAAUGCAUAGAUAUCACAUAGAACACCGAUCGCGAAGGCAGGUCACUAACAACGUACUGACGCUGAUGGACGAAAGCGUGGGGAGCGAACAGGAUUAGAUACCCUGGUAGUCCACGCCGUAAAC
Molecule: ribosomal RNA, 452 nt
Filed under: uncultured Stichotrichia
Lineage: Eukaryota; Ciliophora; Spirotrichea
Description: partial Bacterial small subunit ribosomal RNA
Rfam family: Bacterial small subunit ribosomal RNA
Source: RNAcentral